Molecule: ribosomal RNA, 702 nt
Filed under: Salmonella enterica subsp. enterica serovar Kentucky
Lineage: Bacteria; Pseudomonadati; Pseudomonadota; Gammaproteobacteria; Enterobacterales; Enterobacteriaceae
Description: bacterial SSU rRNA
Rfam family: Bacterial small subunit ribosomal RNA
Source: RNAcentral
AAAUUGAAGAGUUUGAUCAUGGCUCAGAUUGAACGCUGGCGGCAGGCCUAACACAUGCAAGUCGAACGGUAGCACAGAGAGCUUGCUCUCGGGUGACGAGUGGCGGACGGGUGAGUAAUGUCUGGGAAACUGCCCGAUGGAGGGGGAUAACUACUGGAAACGGUAGCUAAUACCGCAUAACGUCGCAAGACCAAAGUGGGGGACCUUCGGGCCUCACACCAUCGGAUGUGCCCAGAUGGGAUUAGCUAGUAGGUGGGGUAACGGCUCACCUAGGCGACGAUCCCUAGCUGGUCUGAGAGGAUGACCAGCCACACUGGAACUGAGACACGGUCCAGACUCCUACGGGAGGCAGCAGUGGGGAAUAUUGCACAAUGGGCGCAAGCCUGAUGCAGCCAUGCCGCGUGUAUGAAGAAGGCCUUCGGGUUGUAAAGUACUUUCAGCGAGGAGGAAGGCGUUGUGGUUAAUAACCACAGCGAUUGACGUUACUCGCAGAAGAAGCACCGGCUAACUCCGUGCCAGCAGCCGCGGUAAUACGGAGGGUGCAAGCGUUAAUCGGAAUUACUGGGCGUAAAGCGCACGCAGGCGGUUUGUUAAGUCAGAUGUGAAAUCCCCGGGCUCAACCUGGGAACUGCAUUUGAAACUGGCAAGCUUGAGUCUCGUAGAGGGGGGUAGAAUUCCAGGUGUAGCGGUGAAAUGCGUAGA